This 540-nucleotide ribosomal RNA is filed under the name uncultured bacterium. Its description in RNAcentral is "bacterial SSU rRNA". It matches the Rfam family "Bacterial small subunit ribosomal RNA", at positions 355 to 896 of the family's 1533-position model. The record is from RNAcentral.
UGAGGAAUAUUGGUCAAUGGGCGAGAGCCUGAACCAGCCAAGUAGCGUGCAGGAUGACGGCCCUAUGGGUUGUAAACUGCUUUUGUAUGGGGAUAAAGUCAAUCACGUGUGAUUGUUUGCAGGUACCAUACGAAUAAGGACCGGCUAAUUCCGUGCCAGCAGCCGCGGUAAUACGGAAGGUCCGGGCGUUAUCCGGAUUUAUUGGGUUUAAAGGGAGCGUAGGCUGGAGAUUAAGUGUGUUGUGAAAUGUAGACGCUCAACGUCUGACUUGCAGCGCAUACUGGUUUCCUUGAGUACGCACAACGUUGGCGGAAUUCGUCGUGUAGCGGUGAAAUGCUUAGAUAUGACGAAGAACUCCGAUUGCGAAGGCAGCUGACGGGAGCGCAACUGACGCUGAAGCUCGAAGGUGCGGGUAUCGAGCAGGAUUAGAUACCCUGGUAGUCCGCACAGUAAACGAUGGAUGCCCGCUGUUGGUACUUGGUAUCAGCGGCUAAGCGAAAGCAUUAAGCAUCCCACCUGGGGAGUACGCCGGCAACGGUG